This is a long non-coding RNA of Capra hircus (goat), 1278 nucleotides long. RefSeq lists it as uncharacterized. The transcript has 2 exons. The record is from RefSeq and is a predicted model, not a curated record. NCBI's taxonomy places the organism in Eukaryota, Metazoa, Chordata, Mammalia, Artiodactyla, Bovidae.
CUGAAUUCAACUGAUAAAGACUAGGGAAUGAAAAUUUAUUCAGGCUAUUUGAGAAAAGGCUGUUUACUCCUUUGUUUUGACUUGGAGAUGUGGAUUAUCUUCCUUCAUCUGAUUAUUCUCUUUUCCCUUUACUCUAAAAAUCCUAUUACUAGUUGAAGUCUGAUGCACAGGAAAGCCCUAUUGGGUCAUGAAAAAGAGAAAUACAGUUUGUAGGUGCUCUGUGUUGAAAGUAAAUGUUAACCUAAACAUUUAUGAGGGAGAUGCCUAUCUAUCACAAAAUUAGAACUUCCUUAGCCUCCAGCUUAGAAAUCAUAUCCAGUUUACAGAACCUUAUUAGGUACAUUCCAUGGGAGAAAAGCCUCCUUUUAACCAUAUUUUGGAGAUUUAGAAACAUUGUCUUCUGUAGUACUUGACAACACAGCUAUAAUUUUGAGUUUGUCAACUGUGCAAUAAUUCUGAUUAAUCAAGAUCCAGUCUAGUUCAGAAAAGCAGUUUCUAUAGCAUUAGAUAGCACCAAGGCUCAAGAUCCAGUCUAGUUCAGAAAAGCAGUUUCUAUAGCAUUAGAUAGCACCAAGGCUGAGAAGGGCGAGUACAGAUUGUUAGACCUUAAAAAUAUCUGGGGAGGUUUCUGAUUAUAUUCUUUUACAUUCUAUAAACUUUUCGGUUAGUGGUGGUUUUAACUUUUCUGCUUCAGCAUAUCUUUCAAAUUAAUGGAGAAAAUACAGGUGAUUUCGCACACAAAAAAACAUGUACCCAAGACAUCAUUACACCCCUGUUACAAAUUCAAGAUGUCACACCAUAACUAACUUAUUGACUGGUUGCAUCUUUAAGAUCAUAUGAUACGGGUAUCCCUACCUUGGGGUCAGGAAUUUUGAUGUUGUUUUCCGAGUUUUAUAUAUAUGUAUACAAGUUUGCUGUGCAUAUGUGUGUGAACUAUGGCCUUUAUCAUAUUCUCAAAGGAAGUUAGGAACCGCCAAGAAUAAAUAAGCAGACAACUGUACCCGAGAGUUGUUAACACAGAAGUUCUUAGACUGUUUAAAUACUCCUUUCUCUUCCUUCCUGGCUCCCCUUUCAGUGCUCUCCACUAUGCCCCGCAUUGAAGUUCACCCUUGGUCUCAUGCUUCUAUGCAAGCAUAAUCAAGUUAAUAAUGAGAGACAUACAGAAUGGCUGCUUCUACUGGAUGCCCACUUUUACGUUCUGAAUAAGUGUCCAGUUAUUUAUGUGUGACCACUUUGCAUCCUGGCUCCUCUCUAGAGGGAAUUGAAAAGAAGGAAAUU